GGCGGUUUGGCCGAGUGGUCUAAGGCGAUUGACUCGAAAUCAAUUCCCUUCGGGGGCGUCGGUUCGAAUCCGACAGCCGUCG
Molecule: transfer RNA, 82 nt
Filed under: Penicillium oxalicum 114-2
Lineage: Eukaryota; Fungi; Ascomycota; Eurotiomycetes; Eurotiales; Aspergillaceae
Also listed under: 1 other name
Description: tRNA-Ser (CGA) (tRNA-Ser-CGA-1-1, tRNA-Ser-CGA-1-2)
Rfam family: tRNA
About the family: Transfer RNA (tRNA) molecules are approximately 80 nucleotides in length. Their secondary structure includes four short double-helical elements and three loops (D, anti-codon, and T loops).
Source: RNAcentral